Molecule: ribosomal RNA, 401 nt
Filed under: uncultured bacterium
Lineage: Bacteria
Description: bacterial SSU rRNA
Rfam family: Bacterial small subunit ribosomal RNA
Source: RNAcentral
AAUAUUGCGCAAUGGGCGAAAGCCUGACGCAGCGACGCCGCGUGAGGGAUGACGGCCUUCGGGUUGUAAACCUCUUUCAGCACAGACGAAGCGCGAGUGACGGUAUGUGCAGAAGAAGGACCGGCCAACUACGUGCCAGCAGCCGCGGUAAUACGUAGGGUCCGAGCGUUGUCCGGAAUUACUGGGCGUAAAGAGCUCGUAGGUGGUUUGUCGCGUUGUUCGUGAAAACUCACAGCUCAACUGUGGGCGUGCGGGCGAUACGGGCAGACUAGAGUACUGCAGGGGAGACUGGAAUUCCUGGUGUAGCGGUGGAAUGCGCAGAUAUCAGGAGGAACACCGGUGGCGAAGGCGGGUCUCUGGGCAGUAACUGACGCUGAGGAGCGAAAGCGUGGGGAGCGAAC